Molecule: long non-coding RNA, 2304 nt
Filed under: Salmo salar (Atlantic salmon)
Lineage: Eukaryota; Metazoa; Chordata; Actinopteri; Salmoniformes; Salmonidae
Description: lncRNA (ENSSSAG00000104214.1)
Source: RNAcentral
GUACGGUAGUGUGCUAAACAGAGUCAGUACGGUAGUGUACUAAACAGAGUGAGUACGGUAGUGUGCUAAACAGAGUGAGUACGGUAGUGUGCUAAACAGAGUGAGUACGGUAGUGUGCUAAACAGAGUGAGUACGGUAGUAAACAGAGUUAGUACGGUAGUAAACAGAGUGAGUACGGUAGUGUAGUAAACAGAGUGAGUACGGUAGUGUGCUAAACAGUGAGUACGGUAGUGUAGUAAACAGAGUGAGUACGGUAGUGUGCUAAACAGAGAGAGUACUGUAAUGUACUAAACAGAGUGAGUACGGAAGUAAACAGAUAUGGUAGUGUGCUAAACAGAGCGAGUACGGUAGUAAACAGAGUGAGUAGUGUACUAAACAGAGUGAGUACGGUAGUGUACUAAACAGAGUGACUACGGUAGUGUACUAAACAGAGUGAGUACGGUAGUGUACUAAACAGAGUUAGUACGGUAGUGUCCUAAACAGAGUGAGUAAGGUAGUGUGCUAAACAGAGUGAGUACGGUAUUGUAGUAAACAGAGUGAGUACGGUAGUGUACUAAACAGAGUGAGUACGGUAGUGUAGUAAACAGAGUGAGUACGGUAGUGUGCUAAACAGAGUGAGUACGGUAGUGUAGUAAACAGAGUGAGUACGGUAGUGUACUAAACAGAGUGAGUAUGGUAGUGUGCUAAACAGAGUGAGUACGGUAGUAAACAGAGUGAGUAGUGUACUAAACAGAGUGAGUACGGUAGUGUACUAAACAGAGUGAGUAAGGUAGUGUAGUAAACAGAGUGAGUACGGUAGUGUGCUAAACAGAGUGAGUACGGUAGUGUACUAAACAGAGUGAGUAUGGUAGUGUGCUAAACAGAGUGAGUACGGUAGUAAACAGAGUGAGUAGUGUACUAAACAGAGUGAGUACGGUAGUGUACUAAACAGAGUGAGUACGGUAGUGUACUAAACAGAGUGAGUAAGGUAGUGUGCUAAACAGAGUGAGUACGGUAGUAAACAGAGUGAGUACGGUAGUGUACUAAACAGAGUGAGUACGGUAGUGUACUAAACAGAGUGAGUACGGUAGUGUACUAAACAGAGUGAUUACGGUAGUGUGCUAAACAGAGUGAGUACGGUAGUGAACACAGUGAGUACGGUAAUGUGCUAAACAGAGUGAGUACGGUAUUGUAGUAAACAGAGUGAGUACGGUAGUGUACUAAACAGAGUGAGUACGGUAGUGUACUAAACAGAGUGAGUACGGUAGUGUGCUAAACAGAGUGAGUACGGUAGUGUAGUAAACAGAGUGAGUACGGUAGUGUGCUAAACAGAGUGAGUACUGUAAUGUACUAAACAGAGUGAGUACGGUAGUAAACAGAGUGAGUACGGUAGUGAAGUAAACAGAGUGAGUACGGUAGUAAACAGAGUGAGUACGGUAGUGUACUAAACAGAGUGAGUACGGUAGUAAACAGAGUGAGUACGGUAGUGUACUAAACAGAGUGAGUACGGUAGUAAACAGAGUGAGUACGGUAGUAAACAGAGUGAGUACGGUAGUAAAAUGAGUGAGUACGGUAGUAAACAGAGUGAGUACGGUAGUGAAGUAAACAGAGUGAGUACGGUAGUGUACUAAACAGAGUGAGUACGGUAGUGUACUAAACAGAGUGAGUACGGUAGUGUACUAAACAGAGUGAGUACGGUAGUGUACUAAACAGAGUGAGUACGGUAGUGUGCUAAACAGAGUCAGUACGGUAGUGUACUAAACAGAGUGAGUACGGUAGUAAACAGAGUGAGUACGGUAGUGAAGUAAACAGAGUGAGUACGGAAGUGUACUAAACAGAGUGAGUACGGUAGUGUACUAAACAGAGUGAGUACGGUAGUGUACUAAACAGAGUGAGUACGGUAGUGUUCUAAACAGAGUGAGUACGGUAGUGUACUAAACAGAGUGAGUAAGGUAGUGUGCUAAACAGAGUGAGUACGGUAUUGUAGUAAACAGAGUGAGUACGGUAGUGUACUAAACAGAGUGAGUACGGUAGUGUAGUAAACAGAGUGAGUACGGUAGUGUGCUAAACAGAGUGAGUACGGUAGUGUAGUAAACAGAGUGAGUACGGUAGUGUACUAAACAGAGUGAGUAUGGUAGUGUGCUAAACAGAGUGAGUACGGUAGUAAACAGAGUGAGUAGUGUACUAAACAGAGUGAUUACGGUAGUGUACUAAACAGAGUGAGUACGGUAGUAAACAGAGUGAGUACGGUAGUGUACCAAACAGAGUGAAGUGAGUAGUGUACUAAACAGAGUGAGCACGGUAGUGUAGCAAACAGAGUGAGUA